CCUAGAGCAUUUUAUUUUCAAGGGAAAUAAUUGUGGUCUGACUGUAUUAUUUCAAAAAUCACAUUUGAGAUUUUUUUACUUGCACACCGGUACAGUUUUUGCGGGGAAGUGAAAGUUGCUGAAAUUUUGUCUUCUUCUAAAAACAAGUUGCAGUCUGUCUUUGGAAGCUCUUGAAGUAACAAGAAAGAGGCUACAUUGACAACCUGGUAUACUUUGUUAUAUAUGAAGUUUAUUGAUGGCAUUCAUGAUAUCAUUAUAGAGUACCCUACAUUGAUUUUCUGACAGUCAUGUGUUAUUACAUUUGAACUGGGACUGUUUCAUAAUCAGUGUUGGUAGGGAGAAGUUUGAGUAUGUACAGUUGUUUGACCUGUCUUACCAUGUGGCAGUCCCAGAAGAUGUUACCAUUAUGAAUAAAUGCAGGGGGUAUUAUGCUUCGAACUUGUAGACAAUGGUUAGUGCAGAAGGGACAAAAAAGUAAUGUGAAAGUAACAGAUAUAAAUGAGAAGUGCUACAAGCGUGUUGUCAUGUGAAAAGGACUUUACCCCAACUGUGCUGCAUGAUGUAUAUUCAAGAGUGAGACAGCCAUGCACCAUCUGUAAACUGAGAUGGACCCACACAUAAAAUAUGUUGACUUUUCUAUGUAUUAUCAUCUGUACAGAAUGUGUUUAUGACAAGACUGUAUAAAUAUAUUGUUAAAUCAUAUUUUAUUUCCAUUAUGGCAUGCAUGUAAGAAGAAAGCAUUAAUUAAACAAUUGCAUUCAUAGAAAUGUUAAAAUGUGAUCAAUCUAAUUUAAAGAAUAACCUUUAAUUGGACUUUCUAAGUUUCAUAUUAUUUUUGGUGGAGAUUGACCCGGUCAUUCAGCAACUUAUACUGUCUGUGAGUCAUUUCUUGUAUGUUAUAGUUUUCUUAAUAAUGCAUAAAAUAUCAAAAUAAUGGUUAGAUAAACUCAUUCAUCACUUGUACAUUAAUGUUAAAGCAGUUCAACAUUUUACCAUAACUUAAUUAAUAUUCUAUUACCCAGAUUUGUCACAUAUUUUCAUAUAAACAAUUGUAUAAUACAGUCUAAUCUUAUCUAGAAAUGAUGUUCCACAAUUUUUUAGUUAUACUUUAUUUUGUUUUGAUGUCUCAACAUAUAAUUACUAACAUCAACAAAACUUAGAUAUUUUACAAUUUGGUUGGUAUAAAUGGUUGUUUUGUAGAUAUGUUUUAUUUAUUUCCAUCCAGGGGAAUAAAGAAAUAUACAUUUUAAAAUAUCUCAUCAUUCCAGAUAAGUACACUACAUAAUAAAGAUAAAAGAAAUAAGAAAAAUUAUGUUGGUGGAAUUUUAUUUUAAACAAGAGCGCCGCCAAGCGGGGCAAUAUACGCCCGAAGGCUUACAUCAUAGGAAGGGAGCAAAAUUUUAAGAACUUGACUGUUGUAGCCCAAAGGACUGGAACAACAAAAGGAAAACUUCAAAAAACAAAUCUAAGUCCACAAAAAAAAUAUUCAAAGUCUACAAAAAAAUCCUUAUCAGGUACAGGUAUGUAAAAAUAGACCUAAAAAUUGGAAGUACCAUCCAUGUUGUACCACAGAAAAGUGGUCUCGGUUUUUCCCUACGGCCAAUAAUAAAAAAGUUUCAAAAUAAGCUAUUUAUAGUAACAUAAAAGGGAAGUAAUUAAAAAAAAAAAAUAUUGUAAGUACAAAAAAGAGAUCUGCCAAAUAAAAACAAGAGCACUGCAAUGCAGAGCAAUAUACACUAAGCAAAGUCAUAUAUGACCUUUGACCCUUAAGUGUGACCUUGACCUUGAAGCGAGUCAUCCGGAACAUGCGCUUUGCACAUCGCCUCAGUGUGGUAAACAUUUCUGCCAAGUUUCUUUGAAAUCCUUCAAGCAGUUCAAGAGUUACAGAGCGGACACAAAACAAACUGAUAGGACUUUUGACCCCUAAGUGUGACCUUGACCUUGAAGCAAGUCGUCUGGAACAUGCGCUCUGCACGUCGUCUCGGUGUGGUGAACAUUUGUGUCAAGUUUCUUUGAAAUCCUUCAAGGGAUUCAAGAGUUACAGAGUGGACACGAAACAAACUGAUAUGACCUUUGACUCCUAAGUGUGACCUUGACCUUGAAGCGAGACAUCCGGAACAUGCGCUCUGCACGUCGUCUCGGUGUGGUGAACAUUUGUGUCAAGUUUCUUUGAAAUCCUUCAAGGGGUUCAAGAGUUACAGAGCGGACACGAAACAAACUGAUAUGACCUUUGACUCCUAAGUGUGACCUUGACCUUGAAGCGAGAUAUCCGGAACAUGUGUUCUGCACAUCGUCUCGGUGUGGUGAACAUUUGUGUCAAGUUUCCUUGAAAUUCUUCAAGGGGUUCAAGAGUUACAGAGCGGACACGAAAUUACUAACGGACAGACGGACACCAGCGUCAUAACAUAAUACGUCCCUUCGGGCGUAUAAAAAUUGAUAUACAGUCUUUGUAGUAUUUACUUCUUUAGAUAUGUUGGACUGAAAUGGGAAUAACAACAUACUUUAAAUUUUUGUAGUCGGAAGUUAAUAUGGGAAUUACUAACUUGAAAUAGAUUUUAUCUCGCUGUUAUGCCAUCUGAGCUUUAAUAUUUUUCAACAUUGUCAUUGGCAACAAGGCUAAACAUUAUUUCUCAUGUAUACGUUGCAUUCAUGUGUGAUAAAUGAUUUUAUGGUAUUCUUUAAUAUGAUAUAUGUUUUUCAUCUUACCAUGGAUUAAAAAAAUAUAUAUUUAUUUCUCUGAAAAUUAAGGUAAAAAUACUGACUGAUUAAAUUGCAAUAUAAGAAAGCUUAUAUGAGAUAAAGGGAGGUAAUUCCAUAAAAAAUAUGUAGAAUGUAGAUGAUAAAUAUAAUGAAGGGAGGUAAUAAAAUAUUGUGAAGUUAA
Long non-coding RNA from Mercenaria mercenaria, 2881 nucleotides. RefSeq lists it as uncharacterized. NCBI's taxonomy places the organism in Eukaryota, Metazoa, Mollusca, Bivalvia, Venerida, Veneridae. The transcript is spliced from 5 exons. The record is from RefSeq and is a predicted model, not a curated record.